Molecule: long non-coding RNA, 711 nt
Filed under: Cairina moschata (Muscovy duck)
Lineage: Eukaryota; Metazoa; Chordata; Aves; Anseriformes; Anatidae
Description: domestica (muscovy Duck (domestic type)) lncRNA (ENSCMMG00000005399.1)
Source: RNAcentral
GGGUGUUUCUGUCUCUGCUCUCCUCCCAGCCCCUUGUCUGCCACCCCUUGUGCUUCUCUCCUUUCACCCAGAGCUCAUCUUCUGCCCUUCCCUCCAGGGCUUUGCUGGCGUGCAGGGGGGCAGAGGGCAUGCGGGACCUCCUGGACCGACGGGUCUGCCUGGGAAGCCUGGCGCGGAGGGGCCGCAGGGACCUGUCGGCAUGUAUGGCUACCCGGGACCAGCCGGUGACCGUGGGAGGCCAGGGCGCAGGGGAGACAAGGGUGAAACAGGAGCCCGAGGCCUGCCGGGAUUCCCUGGAAAAGCCGGUCCCAAGGCCCUGCCAGGCCCCCCGGGGCCACGAGGUGCUCCCGGCUCCCAGGGAAGAGCAGGAGAGCCGGGUCCUCGGGGGCUUCCAGGGCUGCCGGUGAGUGGGAGAGCUGCAGCUUGCAGGCUGGGGUUGCAGGCUGUGCCCUCCUGCACCCACAGGGACCUGGGGUGCCAUCAUGCUGGGGGUCUCCCCCAUCUCAUCACUCUCCUGGGGGGCGAGGGGCUGCCCGUGGGCUACACCUCGGGGUGCUCUAACAUCCUUCCGGCCCUGCAGGGAGCUCCCGGCGUGCGGGGGCUGGACGGUGUCCCCGGGAAGCCUGGUUUGGCUGGGGAAGCAGGAGCAGCCGGCAUGCCGGGGGCUGCUGGCCCCCCCGGGUACCCGGUAAGUGCCAACCUGGCUGCUGC